GUGCUCGCUUUGCCCAGCACAUAUACUAAAAUUGGAAGGAUACAGAGAUUAGUAUGUCCCCUACGCAAGGAUGACACGCAAAUUCGCAAAGCAUUCCAUAUUUAA
Molecule: small nuclear RNA, 105 nt
Organism: Leptonychotes weddellii (Weddell seal)
Lineage: Eukaryota; Metazoa; Chordata; Mammalia; Carnivora; Phocidae
Source: RefSeq, a predicted model, not a curated record